UCAUAAAUACAGGUGUCCGGAAGCCCGACAGGGCGUCGGGGAAGACGGUGAGAAACCGUCGUGGUCCCGCCGCUGUAAGUGGGGACGAAAGCCGCAAAAAGCCACUGCCGAAUUCAAGUCCGGCGGGAAGGCGCGGCCGGUAGAUUGAUCCAUAAGCCAGAAGACCCGACCGGACAUAUAUUUCAAAG
Molecule: non-coding RNA, 188 nt
Filed under: Desulfatibacillum alkenivorans
Lineage: Bacteria; Pseudomonadati; Thermodesulfobacteriota; Desulfobacteria; Desulfobacterales; Desulfatibacillaceae
Also listed under: 1 other name
Source: RNAcentral